This 405-nucleotide ribosomal RNA is filed under the name uncultured prokaryote. RNAcentral describes it as "bacterial SSU rRNA". It matches the Rfam family "Bacterial small subunit ribosomal RNA", at positions 355 to 774 of the family's 1533-position model. The record is from RNAcentral.
UGGGGAAUAUUGGGCAAUGGGCGCAAGCCUGACCCAGCAACGCCGCGUGAAGGAUGAAGGCCUUCGGGUUAUAAACUUCUUUGAUCAGGGACGAAACAAAUGACGGUACCUGAAGAACAAGCCACGGCUAACUACGUGCCAGCAGCCGCGGUAAUACGUAGGUGGCGAGCGUUAUCCGGAUUUACUGGGUGUAAAGGGCGUGUAGGCGGGUCUGCAAGUCGGAUGUGAAAUUCCCGGGCUUAACUCGGGCGGGUCAUCCGAAACGGCGGAUCUUGAGUACUGGAGAGGAUAGUGGAAUUCCUAGUGUAGCGGUAAAAUGCGGAGAUAGUAGGAGGAACACCAGUGGCGAAGGCGGCUAUCUGGACAGUAACUGACGCUGAGGCGCGAAAGCGUGGGGAGCAAACA